This 131-nucleotide ribosomal RNA is filed under the name Enterococcus faecalis. RNAcentral describes it as "partial 16S ribosomal RNA". It matches the Rfam family "Bacterial small subunit ribosomal RNA", at positions 1 to 114 of the family's 1533-position model. Lineage: Bacteria; Bacillati; Bacillota; Bacilli; Lactobacillales; Enterococcaceae. The record is from RNAcentral.
UUUAUUAUGAGAGUUUGAUCCUGGCUCAGGACGAACGCUGGCGGCGUGCCUAAUACAUGCAAGUCGAACGCUUCUUUCCUCCCGAGUGCUUGCACUCAAUUGGAAAGAGGAGUGGCGGACGGGUGAGUAAC